Molecule: non-coding RNA, 26 nt
Filed under: Mus musculus (house mouse)
Lineage: Eukaryota; Metazoa; Chordata; Mammalia; Rodentia; Muridae
Source: RNAcentral
UCUUUGUGGGUCUGCUACCUGUUGGU